UUUUUUUAUGACACCGAAACUAGAAAAGAAAAUUAGGUUUGAAGCUUUGAAAUAUUCGGCCAUUGAAGACUUUGAUUAAGGUAUGUUUUUGUUUCGAUUUUUGAUAAUUUUUACGUUUUUGAUAUCGUUGUUUUAAAUACUUCAAAACCCAUGUCUUAAUUUUGUGAAUUGUUGAUGAUUUUGAAAUGUGCCAUUGAUGAAUGUUUGAGUUUCAUGAUGUUAGUUGAUGAAAUAUGAAAUAUAAGUGUUAGAUAAACAUGUUUUGUCUUUGAAUUUUUGGUGAAUUUGAGUAAUUGGGACUAAAUUGAGAAAAUAAAUUUUUGAGGGACUAAAAUGUGAAAUAAAUGACAUGCAUAGACUUGUAUGAGCUUAGUACAUAUUCGGCCAAGCUAUUGUGCAAUGAAAAUUUAAUUAUUUUGUAUUUUGUGAAAUAGGGACCAAAUUGUGAAAAAUGUGAAAUGUCAAGGGCAAAAAUGUAAUUUUCCUAUUUAUGUGUUCUUAGACUAAAUUAAAUGAAAAUAUGAUUGAAUGAGAUUUAUUUGAAUAUGUUUAGAUCAAGAAAAAAAGAAAUCGGAUUUAGAUCGGGGGAAAUCGAAAGUAGUUGAGUAGCCGAUCUAUUAGUCAACGAAAUCUGAGGUAAGUUAUUAAGCAUAUAUAUUAAUUGUAUCGUUUUAAAAAUCAGCCUAGUACCUAUGUAAUUAUGCUGAAUUGAAUGGUAUAUAUAUAUACAUGUAGUGAUAAAAUUAUUGAAAUAAGAUGUAUUGAGUUGUUGAUUUUCGACACUAAGUGUGCGAAUUUAAUUAUAAAGCACUAAGUGUGCGAGUUUAAUUGUAGAGCACUAAGUGUGCGAGUUUAAUGGUAAAGCACUAAGUGUGCGAGUUUGAUUAUUGAGCACUAAGUGUGCGAGCUUAUUAAAUAUUUUCGAAUAACUAUUAGCAUUGAGUAUUUGUCUUAUUGAGAAAUCUUGAUUAGUAAAAUGAGUAAACACUUGGAAUUUUUGAGUAAUAACCAUUAUGGUUGUAAUUAAGGUUAAGCUUUGCAGGUAUUAAAUCUAUUGGUGAUUAUAUUUGGAAUCAUAUAUAUAUAAUAUGAAUCUUUAUAUUACAUGAUUCUUUAUAUUACAUGAUGAGGAAAUGCAUAAUGUAUUUGGUCUUGUGUUUAAAUUUGAAGAAAUGUUUAUGGUUGUGUAAUUAUAUUGAUUUUAGUUAAAUCAUAGUAAUAAGUGAAUAAUUAUCGUAUGAUAUGGUAAGCUAAAGGAAGAUGAUUUAGUAGUAUGAAUUGGUUGAAUAUUAUUUGAGAUAUCGGGUUAAAUAGUAGAGUUUAUUUGCUUAUAACUUACUAAGCUAAAUUAGCUUACAAUGUGUUUGAUAAUUGUUUUGAUGUAUAGAUUUUGGUGUUCGCUACGUGUUCGGGGAUCGUCAGCUAAGCUCGUCACACUAUCGAUAUUUUCUUUUGGUAUUUUGCUAAAUCGUUCUCAAAUAUAUGGCAUGUAUAGCAUAAUUAAAAUAUUGAUUUUGGAACCAAUGGGUAUAUGUUUCUAAAAGCCAUGCGAAAAUGACUUAUCUCUUUUAGUUUGAAUUCGGUAUUAAUGCAUAUGCUUUAAUGGUCUAAAUUGUGGUAUAUGUUCAUGUAAUUGUUAUGCUUAAAUGCUGCCCAAUUGUUAUAUGUAUGCUGCCUAAUUUUGAUAAAUCAAUGCUGUCAAAUUUUGUAUAUACAUGCUGUUAAAUUUUGUGUAUAAAUGCUGUCCAAAUUUGUGUAUGUAUGCUGCCUAAUUUUGGGUGAAUAAAUGCUGUCCAAAUUUUGUAUAUACAUGCUGUUAAAUUUUGUGUAUAAGUGCUGUCCAAAUUUGUGUAUGUAUGCUGCCCAAUUUUGGUGAAGCAAUGCUGUCAAAUUUUGUAAUUACAUGCUGUUAUAUUUUGUGUAUAAGUGCUGUCCAAAUUUGUAUAUGUAUGCUGCCCAAUUUUGGUGAAUCAAUGCUGUCAAAUUUUGUAUAUACAUGCUGUUAUAUUUUGUGUAUAAGUGCUGUCCAAAUUUGUAAUAUGUAGUAUAGUUAGUACAUUGAAAUGAAAUAAAUGCUUGGAUAAAUGUUUGAUUUAUGAUAUUAAAUUUUGAUUAGGUAAAUGAUAAUGAUAUGGAUGAAUUGUUGAAACAUGGUUAGUAUAUGAAACUUGAUUAAAGAUGCAUGUUUGAUUUUAUUUCGUUAUGUGAUAAUAUAUAUAUGGAAUAAAAUUUCGUGGUUGAUUUAAAAAAAAAUUGAGUUGGAUUUUGAUCGGUAAUGCCUCGUAACUCUAAUCCGGCGACGGACAAGGGUCGAGGUGUUACAAGCGGCACCAAUGGUGCCAAAGGACUAAAAUGUAACUUUCUGUAGUUUUAAGGACCUGAUAUGCAAAUUUACCAUUUUGAAUUUUGAAAGUAAAUUGCUGCUGUUGUGCGCACUAAAAUUGAAAUCUGGCUAAUUGCCUUCUAAGCCCUCCUUAUUUAUUAUUUUAAUUAAGUAAUAACUCUAUUUUAAUUUAAUAAACUAUUCUCAUUUAAUAAUUCUAUUUUAAUUUAAAAAAAUUAAGUAAACUAUUUUAAUUUAAUUUUUUAAAUUAAAAUAGAGUUAUUAAAUGAGAGAAUUCUAAUUAAGUAAUAACUCUGUUUUAAUUUAAUAAACUAUUCUCAUUUAAUAACUCUAUUUUAAUUUAAUAAACUAUUCUCAUUUAAUAAGUAUAUUUUAAUUUAAUAAACUAUUCUCAUUUAAUAAUUUUAUUUUAAUUUUAAAAAAAAUUAAAUUAAAAUAGUUUACUUAAUUUUUUAAAAUUAAAAUAGAGUUAUUAAAUGAGAAUAGUUUAUUAAAUUAAAAUAGAGUUAUUAAAUAAGAAUAGUUUAUUAAAUUAAAAUAGAGUUAUUACUUAAUUAGAAUUCUAAGUAUCUUAAUUAUCACUUAACUAAUAUUAGAUUUAAUUAAAAAAAUUAAUAGAAUAUCAGGCAUGCAUUAUUGAAAAACUAGAAGUAAUAAUAAAACUGAUCACCCAUAAAUGUAAUCCAAAUAGAAAAAAUAAAUUAUAAUUAUAAAUUAUUCUCAUCAAAUUUAGUAAAUUUUUUAAAUAAACUAUUCUCAUCAAAUUACCAAAAUAAUACAUAAAAUGUGAAUUAGUUUAUACUUUUUUAAAUAGUUUUACUUUAGGUAAAAUAUAUUUACUUUAAUAAUAAAAUAAAGGCUUUUAUGAGUAAAAAUCAUAGAUUAAGAGCUUAUUUAACUACAAAAAUAGGUUGAGGGCUUGUUUAUUAAAUAAAAAAGUGAGUUGAGGGGAAUAAAAAGAAAAUAAUAAAUAAGGAGGGCUUAGAAGGCAAUUAGCCACAUUUCAAUUUUAGUGCGCACAGCAGCAGCAAUUUACUUUCAAAAUUCAAAAUGGUAAAUUUGCAUGUCAGGUCCUUAAAACUGCAGAAAGUUACAUUUUAGUCCUUUGGCACCAUUGGUGCCGCCAAUCUCAUUGGCACCUUUGGUGCCUCCAAUGUGAUUGGCCUGAUCAGGCUGUGUCAGGUUUUUUUUCUGUUUUUUGUUUUUUUUUUGGUAUAUUUUGGUAAAUAAAAAAAUUAUAAUAUUUUGGUAAAUAAAAAAAAGUUAUAAUAUUUUAGUUAUUUUUUAUUUUUUAUAAUAAUUUUGCAAAAAACCUGAAAUUGCCAAUUAGGGGUUAAAUUGAGAAAGGUGAAAAUUUUGUGUUAAAUGUGUGAAAUUGUGAAAUUUAUGGGCUGAUAUGAAUGUAUAUGAAAUUUGUCAAGGCUUGGUUAGGGGCGAAAUUGCAUAAAAUUCAUUUCAUGAGCCUAGGGACUAAAUUGUAAAGAAGUUAAAAGUAUAGGGGUAAAAUGGUAAUUUUUUCAUAACAUGAAUUUUUUAUUAAAUUGAAUGGAUUGAGAAUCAAAUCAGUUAAAUUUAAUUAUUUAGAUCAAGAAAAGCCACGUUCGGAAUUAGAUCGAGGCAAAGAUAAAGUAGUGGAUUGAUCGGUCGAUUUUCUUCGUACUAAUUCGAGGUAAGUUCGUAUGUUAAUAAGUAUUAAAUUAUAUGUUUUUUAAAUGCUUUAUUAUAAUUUUAAUGAUAUGACUUUACGGAAAUCCUCGACGAAGAUUCGACGACUUAUGGAUUGGAUCCCGGUUGAACCUUAGGAAUAGAUAGGAUACAAAUGACAUGUCAUUAGGGGUUACCGUGUUUUGGGUGCUGGUCUCGUACGUCCUACCGGUGGCUGAUUUUUUGGCAUGUGUUGCGAUUACUUUACAGCUUGUGUGAGCAGCACCAUAUAGCUACAUCUUGACUGACAGCUUGUGUGAGCAGACCGAGUGAUGGCUCGAGAGUGAACAUCUAUAUAAGAUAUGAGAUAGAGGUGGUUUAGGCCACGUAUUGGCACUUAGUGUGCGAGGUACCCGAGUAUCCUAUAGUAUUCCAAAUGGUUCAACGGGCAUAGUGAUGAUUUAAGGUUACAUGAGUUCGAUUCGAACUAAUACAGGUAUUUAUGUGAAAUACGAUAAGUGAUUUAUAUUUAAUAUAUAAAUACAUGGCUAACAUGAUUGUGAUUGUGUGAUAGGCUUUGGGCCAAAUUAAGUUGCAUCUAUGCUUUUAUUUUUGUUUACCUAAAUUGUUGAUGAUUUGGUAAGUUGUAUUUAUUAGUCAUACAAACUUACUAAGCUUAGUUGCUUACUCCGUUUUAAUUUUCAUGUUUUAUAGUGAUUUGGAAGCUCGUUCAGUUUGGAAGUUGUCAGAGAACACGUCACACUAUCAAACUCUUAUUUUGGUAUUUUAGACUUUAUAUUUUGGGUUAAAUGGCAUGUAUAGGUAUUUUGGCUAAUGUGGCCUAUAUGUUUUGUUGUGUAUUUAGCCAAAUGAUUUGGCUUGAAAAUGGUAUAUGUGUUGAUAUGUAAAAAGGUGUUAAUAGCAUUAUGAUAUGUGGUGUAUGGUUGCUAUAUGAAUG
RNAcentral lists this long non-coding RNA (4946 nucleotides) under Gossypium barbadense (sea-island cotton). RNAcentral describes it as "long non-coding RNA (GBAR_LNC013231)". Lineage: Eukaryota; Viridiplantae; Streptophyta; Magnoliopsida; Malvales; Malvaceae. The record is from RNAcentral.